RNAcentral lists this long non-coding RNA (331 nucleotides) under Mytilus galloprovincialis (Mediterranean mussel). The record is from RNAcentral. Lineage: Eukaryota; Metazoa; Mollusca; Bivalvia; Mytilida; Mytilidae.
UUUUUAUUCAGUUUCAAAAGGUCCCGUUUUGUUACAAAGCGCCUUACAUACAUGUAAUAAAGUGCAUAUUAUAUAGUUAAACACCAUUGACUUUCUUUUUUGAGUGUGUAAGUGUUCCUUAUAAGGCUACUACUAAAUCAUAAAAAGUGCUUCGUGCGUACUUUAAGUGUAUUUUCUCUUUCAUUGUCCAUACCGAUCUCGAAAAGAAAUCAAAAUCUGACGACAUACUUAGUAAAAUACAUUGUACCAUUGUAUGAUACUUGUAUACGACUUUCAUUCUUUUGAAAGUGUGUACAUGUACACUAAACAAUUAAAAAGUGUGCCUGAUUGC